This 2925-nucleotide ribosomal RNA is filed under the name Escherichia coli. Its description in RNAcentral is "bacterial LSU rRNA". It matches the Rfam family "Bacterial large subunit ribosomal RNA". The record is from RNAcentral. Lineage: Bacteria; Pseudomonadati; Pseudomonadota; Gammaproteobacteria; Enterobacterales; Enterobacteriaceae.
GGGUUGUGAGGUUAAGCGACUAAGCGUACACGGUGGAUGCCCUGGCAGUCAGAGGCGAUGAAGGACGUGCUAAUCUGCGAUAAGCGUCGGUAAGGUGAUAUGAACCGUUAUAACCGGCGAUUUCCGAAUGGGGAAACCCAGUGUGAUUCGUCACACUAUCAUUAACUGAAUCCAUAGGUUAAUGAGGCGAACCGGGGGAACUGAAACAUCUAAGUACCCCGAGGAAAAGAAAUCAACCGAGAUUCCCCCAGUAGCGGCGAGCGAACGGGGAGGAGCCCAGAGCCUGAAUCAGUGUGUGUGUUAGUGGAAGCGUCUGGAAAGGCGCGCGAUACAGGGUGACAGCCCCGUACACAAAAAUGCACAUGCUGUGAGCUCGAUGAGUAGGGCGGGACACGUGGUAUCCUGUCUGAAUAUGGGGGGACCAUCCUCCAAGGCUAAAUACUCCUGACUGACCGAUAGUGAACCAGUACCGUGAGGGAAAGGCGAAAAGAACCCCGGCGAGGGGAGUGAAAAAGAACCUGAAACCGUGUACGUACAAGCAGUGGGAGCCUCUUAAUGGGGUGACUGCGUACCUUUUGUAUAAUGGGUCAGCGACUUAUAUUCUGUAGCAAGGUUAACCGAAUAGGGGAGCCGAAGGGAAACCGAGUCUUAACUGGGCGUUAAGUUGCAGGGUAUAGACCCGAAACCCGGUGAUCUAGCCAUGGGCAGGUUGAAGGUUGGGUAACACUAACUGGAGGACCGAACCGACUAAUGUUGAAAAAUUAGCGGAUGACUUGUGGCUGGGGGUGAAAGGCCAAUCAAACCGGGAGAUAGCUGGUUCUCCCCGAAAGCUAUUUAGGUAGCGCCUCGUGAAUUCAUCUCCGGGGGUAGAGCACUGUUUCGGCAAGGGGGUCAUCCCGACUUACCAACCCGAUGCAAACUGCGAAUACCGGAGAAUGUUAUCACGGGAGACACACGGCGGGUGCUAACGUCCGUCGUGAAGAGGGAAACAACCCAGACCGCCAGCUAAGGUCCCAAAGUCAUGGUUAAGUGGGAAACGAUGUGGGAAGGCCCAGACAGCCAGGAUGUUGGCUUAGAAGCAGCCAUCAUUUAAAGAAAGCGUAAUAGCUCACUGGUCGAGUCGGCCUGCGCGGAAGAUGUAACGGGGCUAAACCAUGCACCGAAGCUGCGGCAGCGACACUAUGUGUUGUUGGGUAGGGGAGCGUUCUGUAAGCCUGUGAAGGUGGCCUGUGAGGGUUGCUGGAGGUAUCAGAAGUGCGAAUGCUGACAUAAGUAACGAUAAAGCGGGUGAAAAGCCCGCUCGCCGGAAGACCAAGGGUUCCUGUCCAACGUUAAUCGGGGCAGGGUGAGUCGACCCCUAAGGCGAGGCCGAAAGGCGUAGUCGAUGGGAAACAGGUUAAUAUUCCUGUACUUGGUGUUACUGCGAAGGGGGGACGGAGAAGGCUAUGUUGGCCGGGCGACGGUUGUCCCGGUUUAAGCGUGUAGGCUGGUUUUCCAGGCAAAUCCGGAAAACCAAGGCUGAGGCGUGAUGACGAGGCACUACGGUGCUGAAGUGACAAAUGCCCUGCUUCCAGGAAAAGCCUCUAAGCAUCAGGUAACAUCAAAUCGUACCCCAAACCGACACAGGUGGUCAGGUAGAGAAUACCAAGGCGCUUGAGAGAACUCGGGUGAAGGAACUAGGCAAAAUGGUGCCGUAACUUCGGGAGAAGGCACGCUGAUAUGUAGGUGAAGCGACUUGCUCAUGGAGCUGAAAUCAGUCGAAGAUACCAGCUGGCUGCAACUGUUUAUUAAAAACACAGCACUGUGCAAACACGAAAGUGGACGUAUACGGUGUGACGCCUGCCCGGUGCCGGAAGGUUAAUUGAUGGGGUUAGCGGUAACGCGAAGCUCUUGAUCGAAGCCCCGGUAAACGGCGGCCGUAACUAUAACGGUCCUAAGGUAGCGAAAUUCCUUGUCGGGUAAGUUCCGACCUGCACGAAUGGCGUAAUGAUGGCCAGGCUGUCUCCACCCGAGACUCAGUGAAAUUGAACUCGCUGUGAAGAUGCAGUGUACCCGCGGCAAGACGGAAAGACCCCGUGAACCUUUACUAUAGCUUGACACUGAACAUUGAGCCUUGAUGUGUAGGAUAGGUGGGAGGCUUUGAAGUGUGGACGCCAGUCUGCAUGGAGCCGACCUUGAAAUACCACCCUUUAAUGUUUGAUGUUCUAACGUUGGCCCCUAAUCGGGGUUGCGGACAGUGUCUGGUGGGUAGUUUGACUGGGGCGGUCUCCUCCUAAAGAGUAACGGAGGAGCACGAAGGUUGGCUAAUCCUGGUCGGACAUCAGGAGGUUAGUGCAAUGGCAUAAGCCAGCUUGACUGCGAGCGUGACGGCGCGAGCAGGUGCGAAAGCAGGUCAUAGUGAUCCGGUGGUUCUGAAUGGAAGGGCCAUCGCUCAACGGAUAAAAGGUACUCCGGGGAUAACAGGCUGAUACCGCCCAAGAGUUCAUAUCGACGGCGGUGUUUGGCACCUCGAUGUCGGCUCAUCACAUCCUGGGGCUGAAGUAGGUCCCAAGGGUAUGGCUGUUCGCCAUUUAAAGUGGUACGCGAGCUGGGUUUAGAACGUCGUGAGACAGUUCGGUCCCUAUCUGCCGUGGGCGCUGGAGAACUGAGGGGGGCUGCUCCUAGUACGAGAGGACCGGAGUGGACGCAUCACUGGUGUUCGGGUUGUCAUGCCAAUGGCACUGCCCGGUAGCUAAAUGCGGAAGAGAUAAGUGCUGAAAGCAUCUAAGCACGAAACUUGCCCCGAGAUGAGUUCUCCCUGAGACUUAGAGUCUCCUGAAGGAACGUUGAAGACGACGACGUUGAUAGGCCGGGUGUGUAAGCGCAGCGAUGCGUUGAGCUAACCGGUACUAAUGAACCGUGAGGCUUAACCUUACAACGCCGAAG